UCUACUAAAGGAAAACAGCUUUCCACUGAUCUUAGGAAUCAAACUCCU
Molecule: transfer RNA, 48 nt
Filed under: Rhinophis dorsimaculatus
Lineage: Eukaryota; Metazoa; Chordata; Lepidosauria; Squamata; Uropeltidae
Description: partial tRNA-Leu
Source: RNAcentral